RNAcentral lists this transfer RNA (85 nucleotides) under Muribaculaceae bacterium. Its description in RNAcentral is "tRNA-Leu". It matches the Rfam family "tRNA". From Rfam's summary of the family: Transfer RNA (tRNA) molecules are approximately 80 nucleotides in length. Their secondary structure includes four short double-helical elements and three loops (D, anti-codon, and T loops). Lineage: Bacteria; Pseudomonadati; Bacteroidota; Bacteroidia; Bacteroidales; Muribaculaceae. The record is from RNAcentral.
GCGCUUGUGGCGUAAUUGGUAGCCGCGCUAGACUUAGGAUCUAGUGUCUAACGACGUGGGGGUUCGAGUCCCCCCGGGCGCACCA